RNAcentral lists this long non-coding RNA (1262 nucleotides) under Brassica rapa (field mustard). RNAcentral's name for it is "long non-coding RNA (BRAP_LNC001404)". The record is from RNAcentral. Lineage: Eukaryota; Viridiplantae; Streptophyta; Magnoliopsida; Brassicales; Brassicaceae.
GCAUGAGCUAGGUUCAUUUUCGUUGUGUGAACAAUUCUGGACUUUUAGCCAAUUCGUGUUUAUUUAAUGAAAUAAACAUAAAGAAAUACUCGUCGUGUUCUUCUCGUUCCAUAAUCAAAUGGUGGAUGAAUAUUUUUGUCUUUUCUCAAACGUAAAUGAUUUAAUUAUAUAGAAAGAGAAUAAUCUUUUUGGUCCCUCUUUUGCUCGGCACGAGCUCUCCUUAGGUCUCGAGCUCUCAUCCUCGGAACGCCGUUUAUGGAGAUGGGUCGCGUUUGAGGACUUGAGAUAUAAAGCUUCCUCGUUGUGGUCUCAUGAUUUGUCUAGAUUCGUCGUUUGCUUUCAAAGAAAGUAACUUCAUGGUUAGGUUCCACUAUGGAACACGUCCUUCGUCUACUAUUCUUUCAUCAAGUUUGAACCUCGUUAAAUGAAGUCGUUUCGUUUUAAGGAAUCGUUUUUAGCCUUCCUCCAACGAAUCCGAGUUCUGGGCUAAAAUAGAGAUGUCGUUUUUUCUUUAUCAGAAGACGAGGCAGAAGUCUUGAGAGCUGUUGAAUUUGUUGAGUUAUGUGUUGUUCUAAGAUGGACCGAGCCGGGAGACUUAGGAUUCUGUCGACAUGUGAUUCGUAGAGGUAGAUUGUUUUCGUCUUUGCAGAAGAAUACUUCGAAGUCGAGACCUUCUAGUUGCAUUCUAGCUUUUUUUUUUUUUUUAAUUUUUCAUGAUCUUUUCUUCUGAUGUUGGUGAGGUAUGUGUUUUAUAAAUAUCACAUCCACCUCUUUAGUCGUCGGUGGAGGAUAUCAUCCUUCGGUAUUCACUCUUUUCAAUGUUACUUAUGAAAAAGUUUCACAUUGAUACUAUUUCGCAAGUUGGUCGCUUCUGGGUUCGGGUUAGCGAAAUUGUAGGAAACAUCCUAUUAAGCUUCCUCGGAGUCCCGUUAUCUGGAGCUCGAGGGGUUUUCCUGUUUAGGUUCUCGGUCCAAACUUCGUCCAAUCCUCUUAAAGUCAGGCUGUGGUGGUUGACCCGGAUCCAGGUGAGUCGUCUCAAAGGAGAUGUCAUCGUUUUUGAGCGAUAUGUCAGUUUCAUCAUCUAGAAAUGUCGCCUUCAUCCUUCUUAUCGGAUACAAGGCAAAUGAAGAUACAUUGUUUCAUUAUCGCGAUCUUGUAAAGAGAUCAUGUAGCCCUCGUUAAGAAAUAGGUUUCUGGGCCAAGAAAAGCGUGUAUGCUAGGCUUUAGUCUUGAGCUUGUCUUGAGUUCUCCUUCGUUUGAAG